RNAcentral lists this ribosomal RNA (468 nucleotides) under uncultured bacterium. Its description in RNAcentral is "partial 16S ribosomal RNA". It matches the Rfam family "Bacterial small subunit ribosomal RNA", at positions 28 to 507 of the family's 1533-position model. The record is from RNAcentral.
GACGAACGCUGGCGGCGUGCUUAACACAUGCAAGUCGAACGGAAAGGCCCUGCUUUUGUGGGGUGCUCGAGUGGCGAACGGGUGAGUAACACGUGAGUAACCUGCCCUUGACUUUGGGAUAACUUCAGGAAACUGGGGCUAAUACCGGAUAGGAGCUCCUGCUGCAUGGUGGGGGUUGGAAAGUUUCGGCGGUUGGGGAUGGACUCGCGGCUUAUCAGCUUGUUGGUGGGGUAGUGGCUUACCAAGGCUUUGACGGGUAGCCGGCCUGAGAGGGUGGCCGGCCACAUUGGGACUAAGAUACGGCCCAGACUCCUACGGGAGGCAGCAGUGGGGAAUAUUGCACAAUGGGCGGAAGCCUGAUGCAGCAACGCCGCGUGCGGGAUGACGGCCUUCGGGUUGUAAACCGCUUUCGCCUGUGACGAAGCGUGAGUGACGGUAAUGGGUAAAGAAGCACCGGCUAACUACGUG